UUCCGGUUGAUCCUGCCGGACCCGACUGCUAUCAGAGUGGGACUAAGCCAUGCGAGUCAACAUAGCAAUAUGUGGCAUACGGCUCAGUAACACGUAGUCAACAUGCCCAGGGGACGUGGAUAACCUCGGGAAACUGAGGAUAAACCGCGAUAGGUCAUCACUUCUGGAAUGGGUAAUGACUUAAAUCUAUAUGGCCCCUGGAUUGGACUGCGGCCGAUCAGGCUGUUGGUGAGGUAAUGGCCCACCAAACCUGUAACCGGUACGGGCUCUGAGAGGAGGAGCCCGGAGAUGGGCACUGAGACAAGGGCCCAGGCCCUAUGGGGCGCAGCAGGCGCGAAACCUCUGCAAUAGGCGAAAGCUUGACAGGGUUACUCUGAGUGAUUUCCGUUAAGGAGAUCUUUUGGCACCUCUAAAAAUGGUGCAGAAUAAGGGGUGGGCAAGUCUGGUGUCAGCCGCCGCGGUAAUACCAGCACCCCGAGUGGUCGGGACGUUUAUUGGGCCUAAAGCAUCCGUAGCCGGUUCUACAAGUCUUCCGUUAAAUCCACCUGCUUAACAGAUGGGCUGCGGAAGAUACUAUAGAGCUAGGAGGCGGGAGAGGCAAGCGGUACUCGAUGGGUAGGGGUAAAAUCCUUUGAUCCAUUGAAGACCACCAGUGGCGAAGGCGGCUUGCCAGAACGCGCUCGACGGUGAGGGAUGAAAGCUGGGGGAGCAAACCGGAUUAGAUACCCGGGUAGUCCCAGCUGUAAACGAUGCAGACUCGGUGAUGAGUUGGCUUAUUGCUAACUCAGUGCCGCAGGGAAGCCGUUAAGUUUGCCGCCUGGGGAGUACGGUCGCAAGACUGAAACUUAAAGGGAAUUGGCGGGGGGAGCA
RNAcentral lists this ribosomal RNA (870 nucleotides) under uncultured archaeon. RNAcentral describes it as "bacterial SSU rRNA". It matches the Rfam family "Archaeal small subunit ribosomal RNA", at positions 1 to 878 of the family's 1478-position model. The record is from RNAcentral.